UACGGGGAGGGCAAGCGUUGUUCGGAAUUACUGGGCGUAAAGCGCGCGCAGGCGGUUCUCCAAGUCAGUGGUGAAAGCCCGGAGCUCAACUCCGGAACUGCCAUUGAAACUGUUGAACUUGAGGACGAGAGAGGUGAGUGGAAUUCCCAGUGUAGAGGUGAAAUUCGUAGAUAUUGGGAAGAACACCAGUGGCGAAGGCGGCUCACUGGCUCGUAUCUGACGCUCAGGCGCGAUAGCGUGGGGAUCAAACAGG
Molecule: ribosomal RNA, 253 nt
Filed under: uncultured bacterium
Lineage: Bacteria
Description: partial 16S ribosomal RNA
Rfam family: Bacterial small subunit ribosomal RNA
Source: RNAcentral